GAUGAACGCUGGCGGCGUGCUUAACACAUGCAAGUCGAACGAAGCAUUUGCGACAGAUUUUUUCGGAAUGAAGUUGCUUAUGACUGAGUGGCGGACGGGUGCGUAACGCGUGGGUAACCUGCCUUGUACUGGGGGAUAGCAGCUGGAAACGGCUGGUAAUACCGCAUAAGCGCGCAAUGUUGCAUGACAUGGUGUGAAAAACUCCGGCGGUAUAUGAUGGACGCGCGUCUGAUUAGCUAGAUGGUGAGUUAACAGCUCACCAAGGCCACGAUCAGUAGCCGAGAGGGUGAGCUGACACGCCAGGUCGGGACUGCGACACGGCCCAGACUCGUACGGGGGGGAGCGGUGGGGAAUAUUGCACGAUGGAGGAAACUCUGACGCAGCGGCGCCGCGUGAGUGAAGAAGUAAUUCGUUAUGUAAAGCUCUAUCAGAAGGGAAGAGAGUGACGGUACCGGACAAAGAAGCUCCGGCUAAAUACGUG
Molecule: ribosomal RNA, 481 nt
Filed under: uncultured bacterium
Lineage: Bacteria
Description: partial 16S ribosomal RNA
Rfam family: Bacterial small subunit ribosomal RNA
Source: RNAcentral